RNAcentral lists this ribosomal RNA (492 nucleotides) under uncultured bacterium. RNAcentral describes it as "partial 16S ribosomal RNA". It matches the Rfam family "Bacterial small subunit ribosomal RNA", at positions 29 to 507 of the family's 1533-position model. The record is from RNAcentral.
AGUGAACGCUGGCGGUAGGCCUAACACAUGCAAGUCGAACGGCAGCACAGUAAGAGCUUGCUCUUACGGGUGGCGAGUGGCGGACGGGUGAGGAAUACAUCGGAAUCUACUUUUUCGUGGGGGAUAACGUAGGGAAACUUACGCUAAUACCGCAUACGACCUACGGUUGAAAGCAGGGGAUCUUCGGACCUUUCGCGAUUGAAUGAGCCGCUGUCGGAUUAGCUAGUUGGCGGGUUAAAGGCCCACCAAGGCGACGAUCCGUAGCUGGUCUGAGAGGAUGAUCAGCCACACUGGAACUGAGACACGGUCCAGACUCCUACGGGAGGCAGCAGUGGGGAAUAUUGGACAAUGGGCGCAAGCCUGAUACAGCCAUACCGAGUGGGUGAAGAAGGCCUUCGGGUUGUAAAGCCCUUUUGUUGGGAAAGAAAAGCAGCAGGUUAAUACCCCGCUGUUCUGACGGUACCCAAAGAAUAAGCACCGGCUAACUUCGUG